This 512-nucleotide ribosomal RNA is filed under the name uncultured bacterium. RNAcentral's name for it is "bacterial SSU rRNA". It matches the Rfam family "Bacterial small subunit ribosomal RNA", at positions 28 to 520 of the family's 1533-position model. The record is from RNAcentral.
GAUGAACGCUAGCUACAGGCUUAACACAUGCAAGUCGAGGGGAAACGACAUCGAAAGCUUGCUUUUGAUGGGCGUCGACCGGCGCACGGGUGAGUAACGCGUAUCCAACCUGCCCACCACUUGGGGAUAACCUUGCGAAAGUAAGACUAAUACCCAAUGACGUCUCUAGAAGACAUCUGAAGGAGAUUAAAGAUUUAUCGGUGAUGGAUGGGGAUGCGUCUGAUUAGCUUGUUGGCGGGGUAACGGCCCACCAAGGCAACGAUCAGUAGGGGUUCUGAGAGGAAGGUCCCCCACAUUGGAACUGAGACACGGUCCAAACUCCUACGGGAGGCAGCAGUGGGGAAUAUUGGGCAAUGGGCGCAAGCCUGACCCAGCAACGCCGCGUGAAGGAAGAAGGCUUUCGGGUUGUAAAGCUCUGUUGUCGGGGACGAAUGUCAGGACUCAAAAUAUGGGUUCUGAAUGACGGUACCUGACGAGGAAGCCACGGCUAACUACGUGCCAGCAGCCGACGG